This 253-nucleotide ribosomal RNA is filed under the name uncultured bacterium. RNAcentral's name for it is "partial 16S ribosomal RNA". It matches the Rfam family "Bacterial small subunit ribosomal RNA", at positions 524 to 776 of the family's 1533-position model. The record is from RNAcentral.
UACGUAGGUGGCAAGCGUUAUCCGGAUUUAUUGGGCGUAAAGAGAACGCAGGCGGUCUUUUAAGUCUGAUGUGAAAGCCUUCGGCUUAACCGGAGUAGUGCAUUGGAAACUGGGAGACUUGAGUGCAGAAGAGGAGAGUGGAACUCCAUGUGUAGCGGUGAAAUGCGUAGAUAUAUGGAAGAACACCAGUGGCGAAAGCGGCUCUCUGGUCUGUAACUGACGCUGGGGUUCGAAAGCGUGGGUAGCAAACAGG